AUUGAACGCUGGCGGCAGGCCUAACACAUGCAAGUCGAACGGUAACAGGGAUCAGCUUGCUGAUUCGCUGACGAGUGGCGGACGGGUGAGUAAUGUCUGGGAAACUGCCUGAUGGAGGGGGAUAACUACUGGAAACGGUAGCUAAUACCGCAUAACGUCGCAAGACCAAAGAGGGGGACCUUCGGGCCUCUUGCCAUCGGAUGUGCCCAGAUGGGAUUAGCUAGUAGGUGGGGUAACGGCUCACCUAGGCGACGAUCCCUAGCUGGUCUGAGAGGAUGACCAGCCACACGGGAACUGAGACACGGUCCAGACUCCUACGGGAGGCAGCAGUGGGGAAUAUUGCACAAUGGGCGCAAGCCUGAUGCAGCCAUGCCGCGUGUAUGAAGAAGGCCUUCGGGUUGUAAAGUACUUUCAGCGGGGAGGAAGGGAGUAAAGUUAAUACCUUUGCUCAUUGACGUUACCCGCAGAAGAAGCACCGGCUAACUCCGUG
RNAcentral lists this ribosomal RNA (490 nucleotides) under uncultured bacterium. Its description in RNAcentral is "partial 16S ribosomal RNA". It matches the Rfam family "Bacterial small subunit ribosomal RNA", at positions 30 to 507 of the family's 1533-position model. The record is from RNAcentral.